RNAcentral lists this ribosomal RNA (816 nucleotides) under Chlorophyllum lusitanicum. RNAcentral describes it as "eukaryotic LSU rRNA". It matches the Rfam family "Eukaryotic large subunit ribosomal RNA", at positions 76 to 879 of the family's 3401-position model. Lineage: Eukaryota; Fungi; Basidiomycota; Agaricomycetes; Agaricales; Agaricaceae. The record is from RNAcentral.
UCCCCUAGUAACUGCGAGUGAAGCGGGAAAAGCUCAAAUUUAAAAUCUGGCGGUCUCUGGCCGUCCGAGUUGUAAUCUAGAGAAGUAAUGCCCGCGCUGGACCGUGUACAAGUCUCCUGGGAUGGAGCAUCAUAGAGGGUGAGAAUCCCGUCUCUGACACGGACUACCAGGGCUUUGUGGUAUGCUCUCAAAGAGUCGAGUUGUUUGGGAAUGCAGCUCAAAAUGGGUGGUAAAUUCCAUCUAAAGCUAAAUAUUGGCGAGAGACCGAUAGCGAACAAGUACCGUGAGGGAAAGAUGAAAAGAACUUUGGAAAGAGAGUUAAACAGUACGUGAAAUUGCUGAAAGGGAAACGCUUGAAGUCAGUCGCGUUGGCCAGGAAUCAGCCUCGCUUUUGCGUGGUGUACUUUCUGGUUGAUGGGUCAGCAUCAAUUUUGACCACUGGAAAAAGGCCUGGGGAAUGUGGCAGCUUCGGCUGUGUUAUAGCCCCUGGUUGCAUACAGUGGUUGGGAUUGAGGAACUCAGCACGCCGCAAGGCCGGGUUUCGACCACGUUCGUGCUUAGGAUGCUGGCAUAAUGGCUUUAAGCGACCCGUCUUGAAACACGGACCAAGGAGUCUAACAUGCCUGCGAGUAUUUGGGUGGAAAACCCGAGUGCGUAAUGAAAGUGAAAGUUGAGAUCCCUGUCGUGGGGAGCAUCGACGCCCGGACCAGAACUUUUGGGACGGAUCCGCGGUAGAGCAUGUAUGUUGGGACCCGAAAGAUGGUGAACUAUGCCUGAAUAGGGUGAAGCCAGAGGAAACUCUGGUGGAGGCUCGUA